UAGGGAAUCUUCGGCAAUGGACGGAAGUCUGACCGAGCAACGCCGCGUGAGUGAAGAAGGUUUUCGGAUCGUAAAGCUCUGUUGUAAGAGAAGAACGAGUGUGAGAGUGGAAAGUUCACACUGUGACGGUAUCUUACCAGAAAGGGACGGCUAACUACGUGCCAGCAGCCGCGGUAAUACGUAGGUCCCGAGCGUUGUCCGGAUUUAUUGGGCGUAAAGCGAGCGCAGGCGGUUAGAUAAGUCUGAAGUUAAAGGCUGUGGCUUAACCAUAGUAGGCUUUGGAAACUGUUUAACUUGAGUGCAAGAGGGGAGAGUGGAAUUCCAUGUGUAGCGGUGAAAUGCGUAGAUAUAUGGAGGAACACCGGUGGUGAAAGCGGCUCUCUGGCUUGUAACUGACGCUGAGGCUCGAAAGCGUGGGGAGCAAACAGGAUUAGAUACCCUGGUAGUCCACGCUGUAAACGAUGAGUGCUAGGUGUUAGACCCUUUCCGGGGUUUAGUGCCGUAGCUAACGCAUUAAGCACUCCGCCUGGGGUGUACGACCGCAAGGUUG
This 550-nucleotide ribosomal RNA is filed under the name uncultured bacterium. Its description in RNAcentral is "bacterial SSU rRNA". It matches the Rfam family "Bacterial small subunit ribosomal RNA", at positions 355 to 896 of the family's 1533-position model. The record is from RNAcentral.